CAUGUUCACAGCAUGGAUGAACCUGAAAACAUGUUAAGUGGAAGAAACCAGUCACAAAGGCCAUGAAGUGUAUGAUCCCAUUUCUAUAAAAUAUCCAUAAUAAGCAAAUUCGUGGGGACAAAAGGGUGAAUUAGUGGUUACUAGGGGGCUGCGGGGAUUGGGAAAUGGGGAGUAAUGCGGUCGGAUAUGGAGUUUCUUGUUAGGGUGAUGACAAUGUGCUGGAAAUAGAUAGAGGU
Molecule: long non-coding RNA, 236 nt
Organism: Myotis brandtii (Brandt's bat)
Lineage: Eukaryota; Metazoa; Chordata; Mammalia; Chiroptera; Vespertilionidae
Exons: 3
Source: RefSeq, a predicted model, not a curated record